Molecule: ribosomal RNA, 492 nt
Filed under: uncultured bacterium
Lineage: Bacteria
Description: partial 16S ribosomal RNA
Rfam family: Bacterial small subunit ribosomal RNA
Source: RNAcentral
AGUGAACGCUGGCGGUGGGCCUAACACAUGCAAGUCGAACGGCAGCACAGUAAGAGCUUGCUCUUACGGGUGGCGAGUGGCGGACGGGUGAGGAAUACAUCGGAAUCUACUUUUUCGUGGGGGAUAACGUAGGGAAACUUACGCUAAUACCGCAUACGAUCUACGGGUGAAAUCAGGGGAUCUUCGGACCUUUCGCGAUUGAAUGAGCCGAUGUCGGAUUAGCUAGUUGGCGGGGUAAAGGCCCACCAAGGCGACGAUCCGUAGCUGGUCUGAGAGGAUGAUCAGCCACACUGGAACUGAGACACGGUCCAGACUCCUACGGGAGGCAGCAGUGGGGAAUAUUGGACAAUGGGCGAAAGCCUGAUCCAGCAAUACCGCGUGGGUGAAGAAGGCCUUCGGGUUGUAAAGCCCUUUUGUUGGGAAAGAAAAGCAGCAGGUUAAUACCCCGCUGUUCUGACGGUACCCAAAGAAUAAGCACCGGCUAACUUCGUG